Molecule: ribosomal RNA, 253 nt
Filed under: uncultured prokaryote
Description: partial 16S ribosomal RNA
Rfam family: Bacterial small subunit ribosomal RNA
Source: RNAcentral
UACGGGGGGAGCAAACGUUGUUCGGAAUCACUGGGCGUAAAGGGCGCGUAGGCGGCUGAAUAAGUGGGAUGUUAAAUCCCCGGGCUCAACCCGGGACCUGCAUCUCAUACUGUUCAGCUCGAGCACAUCAGAGGAGACUGGAAUUCCCGGUGUAGCGGUGAAAUGCGUAGAUAUCAGGAGGAACACCGGUGGCGAAGGCGGCUUUCUGGACAGUAACUGACGCUGAGGCGCGAAAGCUAGGGGAGCAAACAGG